This 343-nucleotide RNase P RNA is filed under the name Clostridium sp. HMP27. RNAcentral describes it as "Bacterial RNase P class A". It matches the Rfam family "Bacterial RNase P class A". From Rfam's summary of the family: Ribonuclease P (RNase P) is a ubiquitous endoribonuclease, found in archaea, bacteria and eukarya as well as chloroplasts and mitochondria. Its best characterised activity is the generation of mature 5'-ends of tRNAs by cleaving the 5'-leader elements of precursor-tRNAs. Cellular RNase Ps are ribonucleoproteins. Lineage: Bacteria; Bacillati; Bacillota; Clostridia; Eubacteriales; Clostridiaceae. The record is from Rfam by way of RNAcentral.
CGAGUAAGCCAGACAGUCGCUGCUGUGGAAACACAGGAGAGGAAAGUCCGAGCUCCGUAGGGCAGGGUGCUGGGUAAUACCCAGUCAGGGUGACCUGAAGGAAAGUGCAACAGAGAUAUACCGCCUAUUUUAUAUAGGUAAGGGUGGAAAGGCGAGGUAAGAGCUCACCAGCGCAUAGGCGACUAUGCGGCUAUGUAAACCCCAUCUGGAGCAAGAUCGAAUAGGGAAGCAUUAUGGGAUUGCCCGUCCCGCUUCCGGGUGUAUCGCUUGAGCCUAUUGGUAACGAUAGGCCUAGAUAGAUGACUGUUUAAUACAGAACUCGGCUUACAGACUUGCUCGUACC